CAGCAGCCACGGGAAUACCAGCACCUCGAGUGGUCAGGAGGUUUAUUGGGCCUAAAGCAUCCGUAGCCGGUUGCAUAAGUUUUCGGUUAAAUCUAUGCGCUUAACGUAUAGGCCGCCGAAAAUACUGUGCAGCUAGGGAGUGGGAGAGGUACACGGUACUCGAUAGGAAGGGGUAAGAUCCUUUGAUCUACUGAUGACCACCUGUGGCGAAGGCGGUGUACCAGAACACGUUCGACGGUGAGGGAUGAAAGCUGGGGGAGCAAACCGGAUUAGAGACCCCCGUAGUCCCUGUCUCUUAUAC
This 301-nucleotide ribosomal RNA is filed under the name uncultured bacterium. RNAcentral's name for it is "partial 16S ribosomal RNA". It matches the Rfam family "Archaeal small subunit ribosomal RNA", at positions 459 to 760 of the family's 1478-position model. The record is from RNAcentral.